This 502-nucleotide ribosomal RNA is filed under the name uncultured bacterium. RNAcentral's name for it is "partial 16S ribosomal RNA". It matches the Rfam family "Bacterial small subunit ribosomal RNA", at positions 30 to 523 of the family's 1533-position model. The record is from RNAcentral.
AUUGAACGCUGGCGGAAUGCUUUACACAUGCAAGUCGAACGGCAGCACGGGUGCUUGCACCUGGUGGCGAGUGGCGGACGGGUGAGUAAUGCAUCGGAACGUGCCGUAUAGUGGGGGAUAACGCAUCGAAAGGUGUGCUAAUACCGCAUACGCCCUGAGGGGGAAAGUGGGGGACCGUAAGGCCUCACGCUAUACGAGCGGCCGAUGUCCGAUUAGCUAGUUGGUGGGGUAAAGGCUCACCAAGGCGACGAUCGGUAGCUGGUCUGAGAGGACGACCAGCCACACUGGGACUGAGACACGGCCCAGACUCCUACGGGAGGCAGCAGUGGGGAAUUUUGGACAAUGGGGGCAACCCUGAUCCAGCCAUUCCGCGUGAGUGAAGAAGGCCUUCGGGUUGUAAAGCUCUUUUGUCAGGGAGGAAAUCCUUAGCGUUAAUACCGUUGGGGGAUGACAGUACCUGAAGAAUAAGGACCGGCUAACUACGUGCCAGCCGCCGCGGUAA